RNAcentral lists this ribosomal RNA (500 nucleotides) under uncultured bacterium. Its description in RNAcentral is "partial 16S ribosomal RNA". It matches the Rfam family "Bacterial small subunit ribosomal RNA", at positions 30 to 523 of the family's 1533-position model. The record is from RNAcentral.
AUUGAACGCUGGCGGAAUGCUUUACACAUGCAAGUCGAACGGCAGCACGGACUUCGGUCUGGUGGCGAGUGGCGAACGGGUGAGUAAUGUAUCGGAACGUGCCCAGUCGUGGGGGACAACGUAGUGAAAACUACGCUAAUACCGCAUACGAUCUAUGGAUGAAAGCGGGGGAUCGCAAGACCUCGCGCGAUUGGAGCGGCCGAUAUCAGAUUAGGUAGUUGGUGGGGUAAAGGCCCACCAAGCCAACGAUCUGUAGCUGGUCUGAGAGGACGACCAGCCACACUGGAACUGAGACACGGUCCAGACUCCUACGGGAGGCAGCAGUGGGGAAUUUUGGACAAUGGGCGGAAGCCUGAUCCAGCCAUUCCGCGUGCAGGAUGAAGGCCCUCGGGUUGUAAACUGCUUUUGUACAGAACGAAAAGGUUUCUACUAAUACUAGGAGCUCAUGACGGUACUGUAAGAAUAAGCACCGGCUAACUACGUGCCAGCAGCCGCCGUAA